This 501-nucleotide ribosomal RNA is filed under the name uncultured bacterium. RNAcentral's name for it is "partial 16S ribosomal RNA". It matches the Rfam family "Bacterial small subunit ribosomal RNA", at positions 30 to 523 of the family's 1533-position model. The record is from RNAcentral.
AUUGAACGCUGGCGGCAGGCUUAACACAUGCAAGUCGAGCGGGGAAGGGUAGCUUGCUACCUAACCUAGCGGCGGACGGGUGAGUAAUGCUUAGGAAUCUGCCUAUUAGUGGGGGACAACAUUCCGAAAGGAAUGCUAAUACCGCAUACGCCCUACGGAGGAAAGCAGGGGAUCGUCGGACCUUGCGCUAAUAGAUGAGCCUAAGUCAGAUUAGCUAGUUGGUGGGGUAAAGGCCUACCAAGGCGACGAUCUGUAGCGGGUCUGAGAGGAUGAUCCGCCACACUGGGACUGAGACACGGCCCAGACUCCUACGGGAGGCAGCAGUGGGGAAUAUUGGACAAUGGGCGCAAGCCUGAUCCAGCCAUGCCGCGUGUGUGAAGAAGGCCUUUUGGUUGUAAAGCACUUUAAGCGAGGAGGAGGCUGCCGAGAUUAAUACUCUUGGAUAGUGGACGUUACUCGCAGAAUAAGCACCGGCUAACUCUGUGCCAGCCGCCGCAGUAA